Molecule: ribosomal RNA, 163 nt
Filed under: Gesnouinia arborea
Lineage: Eukaryota; Viridiplantae; Streptophyta; Magnoliopsida; Rosales; Urticaceae
Description: 5.8S ribosomal RNA
Rfam family: 5.8S ribosomal RNA
About the family: 5.8S ribosomal RNA (5.8S rRNA) is a component of the large subunit of the eukaryotic ribosome.
Source: RNAcentral
UAAUGACUCUCGGCAACGGAUAUCUCGGCUCUUGCAUCGAUGAAGAACGYAGCGAAAUGCGAUACUUGGUGUGAAUUGCAGAAUCCCGUGAACCAUCGAGUCUUUGAACGCAAGUUGCGCCCAAAGUCGUUAGGCUGAGGGCACGCCUGCCUGGGCGUCACGC